Molecule: ribosomal RNA, 454 nt
Filed under: uncultured bacterium
Lineage: Bacteria
Description: bacterial SSU rRNA
Rfam family: Bacterial small subunit ribosomal RNA
Source: RNAcentral
UGAACGCUGGCGGCGUGCUUAACACAUGCAAGUCGAACGAUGAAGCCUAGCUUGCUAGGUGGAUUAGUGGCGCACGGGUGAGUAAUAUAUAGAUAAUGUGCCUCUUAGUCUGGGAUAGCCAUUGGAAACGAUGAUUAAUACUAGAUACUCCUUCUUACUCUAAUGUAAGUCGGGAAAGUUUUUCGCUAAGAGAUCAGUCUAUAUCCCAUCAGCUAGUUGGUAGUGUAAGAGACUACCAAGGCUAUGACGGGUAGCGGGUUUGAGAGGAUGAUCCGCCACACUGGAACUGAGACACGGUCCAGACUCCUACGGGAGGCAGCAGUGGGGAAUAUUGCACAAUGGACGAAAGUCUGAUGCAGCAACGCCGCGUGGAGGAUGACACAUUUCGGUGCGUAAACUCCUUUUAUAUAGGAAGAUAAUGACGGUACUAUAUGAAUAAGCACCGGCUAACUCC